Non-coding RNA from Pseudonaja textilis, 146 nucleotides. NCBI's taxonomy places the organism in Eukaryota, Metazoa, Chordata, Lepidosauria, Squamata, Elapidae. The record is from RefSeq and is a predicted model, not a curated record.
UAAAAUCAAGAGUUUGGAGGUUUCCGGUGACGUCAUGUCGUGGUGGUGCAGGAGAACUUUGCUCUGCUCUCCUGCAUCAGGUUUUUUACCUUUGGAUAGCCGUUUGUGAUGUGGUCAGAUCCCGGAGGGAUCACCAAAGUAAGGAG